AAUUUUGAAGUAUGUUUUCCUUCUGAAACAUCUGUUUAAAUUGAUUCUAUCAAGUCUGCAAAAUAGGGAUGAUCAAUUCUGACCUUCCUUUACUCUAUUUGUUGUAACUUCCUGUCAAGAACUCAAAAAAUUAUAAAUCUGAGUUCAUCGGAAUAUAGAUUGAUACAGCUUUCCAAUGACACCUUUUUUUAGUGAUUUGGAGCAUAUUUGGUCACUCAAACAAUUCAG
Molecule: long non-coding RNA, 228 nt
Filed under: Musa acuminata (dwarf banana)
Lineage: Eukaryota; Viridiplantae; Streptophyta; Magnoliopsida; Zingiberales; Musaceae
Description: long non-coding RNA (MACU_LNC008982)
Source: RNAcentral